Molecule: ribosomal RNA, 292 nt
Filed under: uncultured bacterium
Lineage: Bacteria
Description: partial 16S ribosomal RNA
Rfam family: Bacterial small subunit ribosomal RNA
Source: RNAcentral
GUGUCAGCCGCCGCGGUAAUACGUAGGUGGCAAGCGUUGUCCGGAAUUACUGGGCGUAAAGGGCGUGUAGGCGGCUUUUUAAGUCAGACGUGAAAUCUCUGGGCUUAACCCAGAAAUUGCGUUUGAAACUGGAAGGCUUGAGGAUCGGAGAGGGUAGUGGAAUUCCCAGUGUAGCGGUGAAAUGCGUAGAUAUUGGGAGGAACACCAGUGGCGAAGGCGACUGCCUGGACGACACCUGACGCUGAGGCGCGAAAGCCAGGGGAGCAAACGGGAUUAGAAACCCGCGUAGUCC